RNAcentral lists this ribosomal RNA (254 nucleotides) under uncultured Anaerolineaceae bacterium. RNAcentral describes it as "partial 16S ribosomal RNA". It matches the Rfam family "Bacterial small subunit ribosomal RNA", at positions 1125 to 1382 of the family's 1533-position model. The record is from RNAcentral. Lineage: Bacteria; Bacillati; Chloroflexota; Anaerolineae; Anaerolineales; Anaerolineaceae.
UUACAAGUGUCACACGGAACUGCCGGUCAUAAACCGGAGGAAGUGGGGGUGACGUCAAGUCAGCAUGGCCUUUAUAUCCUGGGCUACACACACGCUACAAUGGGAAGGGACAAUAGGUUGCGAAGCCGCGAGGUGGAGCCAAUCCAGCAAAACUUCCCUCAGUUCAGAUUGCAGGCUGCAACUCGCCUGCAUGAAGUUGGAGUUGCUAGUAAACGCAGGUCAGCCAUACUGCGUUGAAUACGUUCCCGGGGCUU